GAGUAGCUCAAACGGCAGAGCGCUCGCCCGGCAUGCGAGAGGUCCGGGGAUCGAUUCCCGGGGUAAACG
Cymbomonas tetramitiformis is the source of this 69-nucleotide non-coding RNA. Lineage: Eukaryota; Viridiplantae; Chlorophyta; Pyramimonadophyceae; Pyramimonadales; Pyramimonadaceae. The record is from the annotation of a GenBank genome assembly.